UGCUGGGAUUUGAACUCAUGACCUCUGGAAGAGCAGUCAGUGCCCUUAACCGCUGAGCCAUCUCACCAGCCCCAUCACUAGUAAUUGUUAAAAUGAGAGUCAUGAGUCUGUCAUUCUAGGUCUUGGCUUUUGAGGUCUUGGUUCAUCCUGGAUAGAGAUAGAAUCUUCUCCAUGGGACAGAUCCUCAUUCAGCACCACAGGACAGACAGACCGACAGGAUCAGGGCUGGACACUGGGCAUCAGAGACUACAGACAUGCUCAGGCCAACAGGAAGGGUGUCCUCUGGCCUUCCUGAGAGCCACAGAGGAGACACUGCCAAGGAACGGGAGAGAAAUCCCCUGGCACAGAGGAGGUAUGGAAAUCAGGGUGGUCACCCAGUCAACACAGCCAGAGACAAAUGUAGGAUGUCGAGACAGCUGUGUCAAUUCACAGGACCUACCUGCCACACAGAGAGGAAACUGCCGUCACAAGCUUUACUUAGUUUCAACAGGGAGAAGGCUGCUGGAAAUCAGGGAGAGUCUCGGUUUACAUCAAGACUCCUCAGAAAUAAAUGCUUCCCCAGCCUUUGACAGAUUAAGUGGAGAAAACCAGCAGGUUUUGUAAAUCAAGCUAAAUAAAUGAUUGGGUAAUGGCUAUCUAGCAAACUGCUUUCCCGAGGACAGCGGAUACUGUCUCGUAGAAUAACAAGCAAACACUACAAAAAAAUAAUCAUAUCCCAGUAUCCAAAGAAACCAUUAAUGAGCAUAGUGAAAGCUGCCUUUAUACUGCAGUUAAGGAAAAACAAUGGCAAAUUAGAAGCAAAUAACAAAUGUAAAACUAGAACCAAUUACUCCAUCUCAAGAACAAAAUCCUAAAUUGCUCUUCAAAGAGAAAAUAGAAAUCCCAAUUAAAGGUUAAUUUUUAAAAUAAAAUGAGAACCUGAGACAUGAAGAUGAGGGUGUGGGAAACAGCGCCCAGAGAAAAAUGUCAGCACGGAGCUGUUUAUUUUAGUGGAAAAAAAUAAAUGGCUGUGGGUUUCCCCCUUAUGCAGACAGAAGGCUCUGUCUGUGGUGGUGACCACUGUGGGAUUAUCUCCUGCAGCCAUGACCCGUAAUGGUGAGAUCUCGGGACAAUGGACAGGAGGACAAAGGAGCCCAGGUUAGCCACCUCUUCAGAAGUCAGCAUGUGUAACCCCUGUGUGUUUUGUGUGUUUUCAGUGUUCUUAGAGGUGAUGUGCUCCUGUGUUAAUUUUCAAGAAACCAUUCUUUAGAAAAUAAGAUGGUGAAAGCCUCUUCUGGAACAUCCCCAGAGAGCUCAACAGGAAACUUACAUGCAAUUCCGUGUUCUGAUGUGUCUCCAAAUCUUUCCUCAUUAAAUUCAGGAUGAAGACCAAACCUGGAGCCAGAAAGCCCAGCUUUCUCGGGAACCCUGCUUCUAAGAGCCCAUUACCAUGCUUGAUGUAGCACUCCCUUCUUCCCCCUCAUUCAAUGUUCCCUGAUCACUUUUAAGGGGCUAUGGGGCCCUGAGAUUCCUAACUACUGUGAACAGAGCUGGACAACACACUAUCUAUGAGGGCUCAUCUCAUUUUAAGCUUCUGUGUUUCCAAUUCUGAUGCCAGUGUUGUAUCUGUUCACCCAUGCCCCCAGGGGAAUUUGGGACAUUUCUUUGUCAUCAGUAACCUGGCAUCUAACUGUGUAUAUCAAGGUUAGAUGUUGGUGAUUCAGAUUUCCCUUUUGAGACUGGGUGUUCCUGUCUCUCCAGAUCAAUAACAUUGAGUUCUAGAAUAUUCAGUAACCACUCUGUGCUUUCCCAUUGACAGAGAGGACACUGGAGGAAUAGUUUCUGGUAUGGUCCUCCUUACUCUCACUCAGACUGCAGAGGGGGCCCAUGUAUAGGCGACACAGAGGUGGACCACCUGCCCAGGCUGGCCUUGAGUUGGGUGUGUCUGUUUCCUGACUCGGCAUUUCAAGGUUGUCAUACCAGUUCUUUAGAAAGGAAGUCUCAGGCUGUAUGUUGUAUCUGUAUGUUGUUUAUUCGUCACUCCACAGUUAUAGAAAAAAAUAAUGCUUAUCUAUGACAUUCUAUAUGGUUACUAAUAUACCUGAAAGUGAAUUGCUAUACAUAACUGUCAUCCUAGGUCUGGUCCAGCCCCAUAAUGUCAGGAAUUUUGAAUGAGUCGUGAAGAUUUAAGAGGCCCUAGUGUCUCUGCAUUCAUCUUGCAGUCACCAGGUGGCUGAAAACAGCUUGGGGAACAGUUUGUUUGUCAGAAACCAAAGAAAUUGGACCUCUUCGCAGGUGCAGCUCCAGGCAAGCAUGAAGUCUGGUUGGCAAGAGAUGUAGUGGUAUGAAAAUAACUCUGGUCAAGUCUCCUUGUGCAUAGCCCAGGCUGACCUCAAAGCUGAGAUCACCCUGCCGAAGGCUUCUGAAUGCUAGGAUUAAAGGUGUGUUCCACUUUGUACAGAUAACAUCUGCUGUUUUAGAGAUACUAUCGAAACGAGGAGCUCAGUCGCCAGCAUGAUGUUUCUCCUUGGAGAUACUCCUUCAGUACCUGGGUUUAUUGCUCCCUUCAGACUGUCACCCUAAAAUAUAAACAGUUCACAUCCUGAGUAUGCCCACUCUUGACCCAGGUCUGUGUCUCUGGGUGGUUUUCCGGAUUUCCCCACUAUUUUGUUGGACCUCUUUCUCUGUAAUACUCAACAGUGGUCCAUGGUUCUCUCUCCAAGCCAUCUUCCCUUUGUGUGUGUAUGUUUUUGUGUCCAAGUUUCCCUUUUACAUAAGGACUGGGUCACACUGGAUCCAGUCCACCCUAAAAAAAAAAAACUUAUUUUAAUUUGAUCACUCAUAUAAAAGCCUUGUUUACAGUGAAGACACAGUCUGGAGAACUGCAGGUUAGGAUGUGUGCAUCUUCUAGGCAGACACAAACCCACAGCACUACAGUAGUUCAUUUUCACAUCUCCAGUCCCAAGACUCGCCUCACCUGCACACCUUACGUCCUCUAUGAAACUGUGGCACUGGCCACAACACCACUGUACUCUACUUUCUGAAGAUGGCCUUCACCAGCUUAGAGGCUGACGGGAUGGCUCAAAGGGUAAAGGCGUGGUGUCAUCAAGGCUGAUGACCUGAGUUCAAUUCCUUAGACCCAUAUGGUGGAAGAUAACAACUGAACUGACUCCUCAAGGUGACCUCUGACCCCCAUACACAUGCCAUAACAUGAGAAAACAUGCACAUGUGUACACACAUACAUAGAAAAAUACACAAA
Molecule: long non-coding RNA, 3238 nt
Organism: Mus musculus (house mouse)
Lineage: Eukaryota; Metazoa; Chordata; Mammalia; Rodentia; Muridae
Product: predicted gene, 30154
Exons: 3
Source: RefSeq, a predicted model, not a curated record